AAUAUUGCGCAAUGGAGGGAACUCUGACGCAGCGACGCCGCGUGAGCGAUGAAGGUCUUCGGAUCGUAAAGCUCUGUCCUUGGGGAAGAAGGUCUUCGGACUUGACGGUACCUAAGGAGGAAGCCCCGGCUAACUACGUGCCAGCAGCCGCGGUAAUACGUAGGGGGCAAGCGUUGUCCGGAAUUACUGGGCGUAAAGGGCGCGUAGGCGGUAGUAUAAGUCAGAUGUGAAAGUCCAGGGCUCAACCGUGGAAUUGCAUUUGAAACUGUGCUACUUGAGUGCAGGAGAGGAGAGCGGAAUUCCUAGUGUAGCGGUGAAAUGCGUAGAGAUUAGGAAGAACACCAGUGGCGAAGGCGGCUCUCUGGACUGUAACUGACGCUGAGGCGCGAAAGCGUGGGUAGCGAAC
This 406-nucleotide ribosomal RNA is filed under the name uncultured bacterium. RNAcentral describes it as "partial 16S ribosomal RNA". It matches the Rfam family "Bacterial small subunit ribosomal RNA", at positions 360 to 773 of the family's 1533-position model. The record is from RNAcentral.